RNAcentral lists this long non-coding RNA (1363 nucleotides) under Manihot esculenta (cassava). RNAcentral's name for it is "long non-coding RNA (MESC_LNC006152)". The record is from RNAcentral. Lineage: Eukaryota; Viridiplantae; Streptophyta; Magnoliopsida; Malpighiales; Euphorbiaceae.
UGUAGUGUUGCCUCUGUUUUCUGUUCAUUUUCAUUCUUUUGGAUUUUUCAUGUUACUACAUAAUUUAUUAUGGUCUUACUAGAUGGUAAUUUUCAGUAAUACAAACUUCAAACCUAGAAAGGCUAUAUGAAUUUGGACAAAUUCUGAUGACUUGCCAAAGGGAGAUCAGUGAGCAGGCAAGAAGAAAAGAAGAAUAUGCUGAAUUUUUGGGGUGGAUUGGCCCCAUUUGUACCAAGUUGGUGAGAAUAAGCAUGUGUAAGAAACUCGUCUUUUAACUUUUCUUAGUACCUAAAGAAAAAUAAUUAUCAAGAAUCUUAUCUUUGAAGCUGGAACCAGAGAUAAUCGCUGGAGAGAAGGUGUGCAUAUUAAAAAAAGAAUCCCAUUUUCUUUUGGAAGGAUCAUGAAAAUAGAGAAGUUUGGAAAGAAAAUGGGGAGAAGAUAUGAGAUUCUGAAUAUUUCCUACCAACUCUCGCUUGAAGUCUCCUUAUUUUCCACCUCUCACAUCUAUAAAAGCCCCAUGCACAUGAGAGUCAAUGCAGAAAACAAGCCUGUCAUAACUUUCAAUUGCUAGAAUUCUGAUUUUCUUCCAAACUGUUGCUAGUUUCUUGUUCCAGAUAUGGCCUAUCGUCAAUUCUCAGCUUUUAUGUUACCAUUUUUCUUGAUCGGUGUGUCAUUCCUGAACAGCCAGGAAAUUCUGGUGGAUGCUCGACAGCUUCUGGAAAUAACUCUACCGGAGAUUCCUGAAUUGCCGGAGAUACCAUCUUUUCCUAAAGUUGAACUGCCACCAUUACCUGAAUUGCCUGAACUUCCAGAGCUUGAAGUGCCAGAACUGCCUGAUUUGCUUGACAUCCCUGAUUUGCCUGACCUUGCGAAGCCCACAUUAGCUGCCAAGCCAACUAUUUCAAAGGACAUGAACCCUUUUCAUUCAACCACCAGUCCUUAAAUGAUCGUACCUUCUCAUAUUUCUGCAGUGGAUUUCAUGGUGAACUUCAUCCAAUGCUUCUUGUUUCUAUAUAUGAUGUGCUCUUUGGUGUAGGAGUUCUGCACCUUGUUGCUUGAGCUGAUGGUUUCUGUAAUUUUUUAUUUACUGGUUCCAAUCUGAAUGUGUUUAUAGGAAAGAUUCUUGUGUUUUCUACUAUUUUCCAGUUACUGUGAUGCAUCCAUACUCUAUUGGUUGUUUAGUUUUAUGAUGAAUUAGUGACGGAAUUUCUUGUCCAGUAUAUGCAAAUCUGCCUUAAUGUUACUAAAGACACUAUUUUGUUUUCUUCAAUAUAAUAGAAGCUUAAAGGGCAAGGAAAUGAGUACUUAAAGAGUGUAACAAUGUUCAGUAUUUCCUCGCAAAUUACUAAGAAAUAUAAAUAAA